UACGUCCACACCUUUUAGGUGUGGAUCAGUUGACUGUCAUACUUCCAAGAAAAGCUCGAACUACUGUAAAGCAUCACGUACCUGUACCGUAAACCGACACAGGUGGGUUGGUAGAGUAUACCAAGGGGCGCGAGAUAACUCUCUCUAAGGAACUCGGCAAAAUGACCCCGUAACUUCGGGAGAAGGGGUGCCAAGUAACUCAAAUUGCUUGGUCGCAGUGACCAGGCCCUGCGACUGUUUAUCAAAAACACAGGUCUCCGCAAAGUCGUAAGACAACAUAUGGGGGCUGACGCCUGCCCAGUGCCGGAAGGUUAAAGAAGUUGGUUAUUCACUCGUGGAGAAGCUGACGACUGAAGCCCCGGUGAACGGCGGCCGUAACGAUAACGGUCCUAAGGUAGCGAAAUUCCUUGUCGGGUAAGUUCCGACCCGCACGAAAGGCGUAACGAUCAGGGCACUGUCUCGGAGAGAGACUCUGAAAUAGACAUGUCUGUGAAGAUGCGGACUACCUGCACCUGGACAGAAAGACCCUAUGAAGCUUGACUGUAGCCUGGAAUUGGGUUCGGGCUCUUCUAGCGCAGCCUAGGUGGGAGGCGUUGAAGGCUUUCUUUUGGGGAAGCUGGAGCCAUCAGUGAGAGACCACUCUGGAGGAGCUAGAAUUCUAAUGGCGUUCCUUGAAGCAGGACGCUUGACAGUUUCAGGUGGGCAGUUUGACUGGGGCGGUCACCUCCUAAAAGGUAACGGAGGUGUGCAAAGGUUCCCUCAGGCUGGACGGAAAUCAGCCGUAGAGUGUAAAGGCAGAAGGGAGCUUGACUGCAAGGCCUACAAGUCGAGCAGGGGCGAAAGCCGGCCUUAGUGAUCCGACGGUUCCAUGUGGAAGGGCCGUCGCUCAACGGAUAAAAGUUACUCUAGGAUAACAGGCUGAUCUUCCCCAAGAGUUCACAUCGACGGGAAGGUUUGGCACCUCGAUGUCGGCUCAUCGCAACCUGGGGCGGUAGUACGUCCCAAGGGUUGGGCUGUUCGCCCAUGAAAGCGGUACGUGAGCUGGGUUCAGAACGUCGUGAGACAGUUCGGUCCAUAUCCGGUGUAGGCGUUAGAGCAUUGAGAGGAGUCUUCCAUAGUACGAGAGGACCUGGAAGAACACACCUCUGUAUACCAGUUAUCAUGCCAAUGGUAGACGCUGGGUAGCCAUGUGUGGAGUGGAUAACCGCUGAAAGCAUCUAAGUGGGAAGCCCACCUCAAGAUGAGUGCUCUCCAUUAGGUCACAGGAAGACAACCUGUUUGAUAGGCAGAAGGUGUAAGGCUAGUAAUAGUUUCAGCUGAUCUGUACUAAUAGACCGAUUGAUUUUGACC
RNAcentral lists this ribosomal RNA (1350 nucleotides) under metagenome. Its description in RNAcentral is "bacterial LSU rRNA". It matches the Rfam family "Bacterial large subunit ribosomal RNA", at positions 1566 to 2925 of the family's 2925-position model. The record is from RNAcentral.